This 202-nucleotide ribosomal RNA is filed under the name Hemiramphus far (blackbarred halfbeak). RNAcentral's name for it is "partial 16S ribosomal RNA". The record is from RNAcentral. Lineage: Eukaryota; Metazoa; Chordata; Actinopteri; Beloniformes; Hemiramphidae.
GCCAAACAGCUAGCCCACUAAACUAACAUCAUCACAAAUUCAUAACUACACCCUAACUUACUAAAACCAACCAACAAACCAUUUUCCCCUUUUAGUAUGGGAGACAGAAAAAAGACUAAGAGCAAUAGAGAAAGUACCGCAAGGGAACGCUGAAAAAGAAAUGAAACAAACCAGUUAAGCAAAAAAAAGCAGAGACCCAACU